Molecule: unclassified non-coding RNA, 2416 nt
Filed under: Leishmania donovani
Lineage: Eukaryota; Euglenozoa; Kinetoplastea; Trypanosomatida; Trypanosomatidae
Description: gene:LdHU3.25.0540(CDS-product:hypothetical_prote in_conserved)
Source: RNAcentral
CCGCCCUUCUGUUUCGCGUUCUCAUACGCAUCAACCGUAACUCGGCAAACAUCGUCUGCUUUCCCCACGGACACUCAUCUGCUUUGACCACGCACACAUGCACGUACACUAGCCCUGCAGCGAAGGAAGUGCACGACUCCGACAUCAGCGCCUCUCUCCUCCCCGAAACUCUCCCGUUCUUUCCAGUGCAUUGCACAAGCACUUACCAUCAAUCUCUGGGUGAAUCCAGCGAGGCAUUCAAGUAUGCAUUCAGUAGCGAAGCGCAAGGAGCAGUCGAUCGCUGUGGCUGUGAUGGCGGCGUCGCCGAUGUGCAUGCAUACGGACACACCGGUGGACACACCAGACGAGCCGAUGGCGACGGAGGAGGAGCUGCGGGCCUGGUCGGAGCUCGAACACAGUCGGCCCACAUCCCCGUCGCCAGCUGGCGGUAACGGAGCCUGGCGGCUGCCCAAGCGGUAUCAGGGAGUUUUUCAAGAGCGCUACAUCCUCAUGGUGCUGGUUCUCACUCUGCUGCUCUUCGUUGCCUCUACAUUUCAGAUGGACACCAAGACGGAGCUGGAAGAGAUCAAGCGCAUGUACGGCAUCGAGGAGCCGAUGAAGCCGUCGACGGAGCGCACUGGCAACAAGAAAGCAGAGAGAGUAUAGGGCGCCUUCAACCCGUGGAUGUGCGGGCGUUUGGGCACCUCGGCGCGCUCGAGUAUCUGCGUCUCUCCACUCAUGAACGUAGACGGGCUUUCUCACGGUUCUUUACUUAGUUUCUUACGAUGUCUUUUCACUGUUCUAUAGCGUUGAUGUGCGCGCCGCGCCACCUCCUCCACUUUGUUGUGAGGCACACUAUCACUGACAGCCCACCCGGCCCCCUCCUUCUCCGACUCCGUUGUCGUUUAACGGGAGGUGGCGAGUGAAGGAGAGAGACAGAGAUGGAGGAAGCGGGUGCAACUCUCUUGGUGGCUGCGUGGUGGCUCACGCACGACGUUGAAGGAAGAAGGCCAAAGGUGAUAAGGGGCUGCUGUGCGUGGCGUGCCCUGCUGUCGCAGAGCCAUCUCAGCAGCACCAGCUUUCAUCUUUCACGCUUCCACUCUUCUAUCGUCCCCCCCCAGAUUAUGCGCACCGUCUCAUAGAAGAUAAUAACCGAAACGAAGAUAUCGCGUUUCCCUUGUAUUGCUGCUGAAUAGAAGAGGAACAGAACAGUGGGAUGGGCGACACGUGCGCAGCUCUCAUGGAUGCACGCAUACACACAAGCACGUGCGCACACGGAUGUGUCGCGCUCUCUCUGCAUGUAUGCGCGCGUAUGUGUGUAUGCAUGUAUGUCCUUUUUUUUUUUCUUGCUGUCGCUGCCUCUUCAAUGAGGAGGAGGGUGCGUGAGAACAAGAGACACAACCAGACCAAAAAAAAAAGAAAACCAUUAAGCACCUGCAUGCUCGUGUUCGCCGCUAUGUGAUAGGAUGCUCGGUAACUCGCCCUCCCCCUCCGUCCCUGCCGCUUUCUCUCUUGCUAGCUUGCUCGCUUGCUGAUGUUCAUUUUUCCGAUUUCCCUCCCUCCUCGUUUGCUUCUGGUGGUCUCCGCCACUCUCACCGCUUUGGCUUCCGCGCUCUCGUUGCGCGCGUCGGGCGUCCGCGUCCGCGUCCGCCUUCUUCGCUUCUUCGCUUGCCUUUGUCAGCUCGGCCUUCUUUUUGUCUGUGGUUUGUUGUGCGCUUGUGAGCGAUAUGCUCAGGAUCCACUGCCCGCUCCUCUUUCUCUCCCUCUGUCUGUGUGCGCACUUCACCACCUCUAUGGCCCGUUAUCGCCGACGAGCAUCACAGCUACUACCACUUUCCUGACAGCUCUCCCCUGUCUCUCUCUUUGUGUAUGCCUGUGUGUGUGUGUGUGGCGCGACCCUUGUUCGUGGUUGUGGAUUUCGGCUCUUUUAGCUGCACACACAUCCGCCGCUUUUUUUUCCUCGCAUGGCUGAGGUGGACAGGCUGUUGCAGCUGUGGACUGUGCUGUGGCUUUCUUGUUCCCUGGCAACUGAACGUGGUGAUGAUCUCGGCGUGCAUGCCCUUGCCUCUGCCCUCCCCAUGCCUCUCUGCGCCUGUUGCGUUGCUUGGUGUGGGCUGAGGACCGGCCAACGCACAUCCGCUUCUCUUCCUUUCCUGUCGUCCUCCCUCGCUAGCAAAAGUGCAAGAGGCCGGGGAGGUCAUGCGUAUGACGACUGUGAUUGUGUGCGUGUGUUUAUGUCUUCUCUGCGCACGCAAACACGACACCCUCUUUCCAUUGCUCUCCGUGCCUCUGUUCGUCUGUGAUCUUGCAGCGCGGGCACACAAGAGGGGCUGGGCUCGGAACGGGUUUAUGCUGUGCGCAUCCCCCUUUCCCUCUCUGUGUGUGCUUUGGUUUCCUCAAGCCAACCGAGCAGACCACACGAACCCAAGAAAAUGCC